Molecule: ribosomal RNA, 522 nt
Filed under: Borreliella andersonii
Lineage: Bacteria; Pseudomonadati; Spirochaetota; Spirochaetia; Spirochaetales; Borreliaceae
Description: bacterial SSU rRNA
Rfam family: Bacterial small subunit ribosomal RNA
Source: RNAcentral
AACUAACGCUGGCAGUGCGUCUUAAGCAUGCAAGUCAAACGGAAUGUAGCAAUACAUUCAGUGGCGAACGGGUGAGUAACGCGUGGAUGAUCUACCUAUGAGAUGGGGAUAACUACUAGAAAUAGUAGCUAAUACCGAAUAAGGUCAAUUAAUUUGUUAAUUGAUGAAAGGAAGCCUUUAAAGCUUCGCUUGUAGAUGAGUUUGCGUCUUAUUAGCUAGUUGGUAGGGUAAAUGCCUACCAAGGCGAUGAUAAGUAACCGGCCUGAGAGGGUGAACGGUCACACUGGAACUGAGAUACGGUCCAGACUCCUACGGGAGGCAGCAGCUAAGAAUCUUCCGCAAUGGGCGAAAGCCUGACGGAGCGACACUGCGUGAAUGAAGAAGGUCGAAAGAUUGUAAAAUUCUUUUAUAAAUGAGGAAUAAGCUUUGUAGGAAAUGACAAAGUGAUGACGUUAAUUUAUGAAUAAGCCCCGGCUAAUUACGUGCCAGCAGCCGCGGUAAUACGUAAGGGGCGAGCGUUGU